UGGGGAGAUAGUGAUUUUUUGGCAUUCGCCGUUUCGCGUACGCGCGUUAUCUUCGCGAGCACAAGCAACCGCCGAAAGAGUGCCGCUGGUGCGAUCGAGAGGUUUGUUCGAAUGAUUGUACUUGGGUGCAGUGGUGCAAAGCAAAGAAAAAUAAUACAAAACGGACGCCUUUAAUGGCUGAAUUAACGCGUGUGUUUGAUGUUUGAGGAGAGAUCAUAAAUGUUUUAAGAAAACAAAUUGAAAUACGAGUGUCUCUAUCGCCAGUAAAUGGUCACCUGCAGCAACGCAUCCAUCGAUACUACAACCAACCUUCCCGGUAGUCCGAGAACGAUCGUACCCGAGUGGAAAGCGCAUUGCAUUCUGAAGAGAAAACCACGCGACUUCUAUCCAUAAGCUAACC
This is a long non-coding RNA of Anopheles moucheti, 400 nucleotides long. RefSeq lists it as uncharacterized. Lineage: Eukaryota; Metazoa; Arthropoda; Insecta; Diptera; Culicidae. The record is from RefSeq and is a predicted model, not a curated record. The transcript has 3 exons.